This 496-nucleotide ribosomal RNA is filed under the name uncultured bacterium. RNAcentral's name for it is "partial 16S ribosomal RNA". It matches the Rfam family "Bacterial small subunit ribosomal RNA", at positions 28 to 506 of the family's 1533-position model. The record is from RNAcentral.
GAUGAACGCUGGCGGCGUGCCUAAUACAUGCAAGUCGAGCGAACAGAUAAGGAGCUUGCUCCUUUGACGUUAGCGGCGGACGGGUGAGUAACACGUGGGUAACCUACCUAUAAGACUGGAAUAACUCCGGGAAACCGGGGCUAAUGCCGGAUAACAUUUAGAACCGCAUGGUUCUAAAGUGAAAGAUGGUUUUACUAUCACUUAUAGAUGGACCCGCGCCGUAUUAGCUAGUUGGUAAGGUAACGGCUUACCAAGGCAACGAUACGUAGCCGACCUGAGAGGGGGAGCGCCCACAGUGGACCUGAGCCCGGGACCAGACCCCUAGGGGAGGCAGCAGGGGGAAUUUUGCCGAAAGGGGCGAAAGCCUGACGGAGCAACGCGGGGGGAGUGAUGAAGUGUUGCGGUUCUUAAAACUUUUUUAUGGGGAAAAAAAAAAUGGGAAAGUAACUGUGCCCGUCUUGAGGGUACCAAAGAAAAAACCCACGGCUAACUCCGU